UGAGAGCUCCACCUCCCCCCACUGUUUUCGGCCAAGGCAAGAGCAAAUCAACCCCCAUUUUUAGCUUCUCUAAAAUUGAUUCCUUGGUGUAGAUCAACUAUAUUGAAGUCCCUAAGUAGCGUGGAAGAGUUGUUUGAGUCAUCCAACCACUAGUUGUGCCCAAUUUCAAACCCUAACUAUUGAAGGAAGUGAAUAACAAAGACCUUGGGCAGCCCGAAUCAUAGGUUGGGCUUAGCUUGAGUUGGAUCAUAUUGGAGAGCGUUUGAGGUACAGACGCACAGCCUGGUGAUCCACCUGUUUAGGACACCCUUUCUGCUAUUCGGAGUGCUCCUCUCUUUCCGGAGCUUAUACUUUUGGUAUAUAUAUUUAUUAGUGCAUUUGUAUAUAUUCGUUCAUGGGUACGGCGGGGCCCUGUCCCGUCAUACGAUUCUGUCGGUCUGUUUAGAGGUCUGUGGACAUGUUUGUGGGUUAGGGUCUUUCUGUAUGGAUGUAUGUACAUGUCGUUUGGGCGA
Lycium barbarum (goji berry) is the source of this 512-nucleotide long non-coding RNA. RefSeq lists it as uncharacterized. Lineage: Eukaryota; Viridiplantae; Streptophyta; Magnoliopsida; Solanales; Solanaceae. The transcript is spliced from 3 exons. The record is from RefSeq and is a predicted model, not a curated record.